RNAcentral lists this ribosomal RNA (372 nucleotides) under uncultured bacterium. RNAcentral's name for it is "bacterial SSU rRNA". It matches the Rfam family "Bacterial small subunit ribosomal RNA", at positions 523 to 898 of the family's 1533-position model. The record is from RNAcentral.
AUACGUAGGGGGCGAGCGUUGUCCGGAAUUAUUGGGCGUAAAGGGUUCGCAGGCGGCCUUUUAAGUCAGAUGUGAAAUCCCACGGCUUAACCGUGGUAAGCAUUUGAAACUGGAAGGCUUGAGUUAAGGAGAGGAAAGUGGAAUUCCUAGUGUAGCGGUGAAAUGCGUAGAUAUUAGGAGGAAUACCAGUGGCGAAGGCGACUUUCUGGACUUAUACUGACGCUGAGGAACGAAAGCGUGGGGAGCAAACAGGAUUAGAUACCCUGGUAGUCCACGCCGUAAACGAUGAGUGCUAGGUGUUGGGGGUCAAACCUCGGUGCCGCAGCUAACGCAUUAAGCACUCCGCCUGGGGAGUACGUACGCAAGUAUGAA